This 963-nucleotide ribosomal RNA is filed under the name uncultured bacterium. RNAcentral's name for it is "bacterial SSU rRNA". It matches the Rfam family "Bacterial small subunit ribosomal RNA", at positions 521 to 1483 of the family's 1533-position model. The record is from RNAcentral.
UAAGACGUAGGGGGCCAGCGUUGUUCGGAAUUACUGGGUGUAAAGGGUUCGUAGGCGGUGCGGCAAGUUGGGAGUGAAAUCUCCAGGCUUAACUUGGAGACGGCUUCCAAAACUGCCGUGCUCGAGUGCGGGAGAGGCCAGUGGAAUUGCAGGUGUAGCGGUGAAAUGCGUAGAUAUCUGCAGGAACACCCGUGGCGAAGGCGGCUGGCUGGACCGCAACUGACGCUGAGGAACGAAAGCUAGGGGAGCAAACAGGAUUAGAUACCCUGGUAGUCCUAGCCCUAAACCAUCAGGACUUGGGGUGGCCCGCGUAGGCGGGUCGUCCCGUAGCUAACGCGUUAAGUCCUGCGCCUGGGGAGUACGGUCGCAAGACUGAAACUCAAAGGAAUUGACGGGGGCCCGCACAAGCGGUGGAACAUGUGGUUCAAUUCGACGCAACGCGAAGAACCUUACCUGGGCUCGAAGUGCCGGCGACCAUCUUGAGAAAUCUAGACUUCCCGCAAGGGACGCCGGUAGAGGUGCUGCAUGGCUGUCGUCAGCUCGUGCCGUGAGGUGUUGGGUUAAGUCCCGCAACGAGCGCAACCCUUACGCGUAGUUGCCACCCCGCAAGGGGGGAACUCUACGUGGACUGCUCCGGAUAACGGAGAGGAAGGUGGGGAUGACGUCAAGUCAGCACGGCCUUUAUGUCCAGGGCUACACACGUGUUACAAUGCGCGGCACAGAACGCUGCAAACCCGCGAGGGGGAGCUAAUCGGAAAAAACCGCGCUCAGUUCGGAUUGCAGUCUGCAACUCGACUGCAUGAAGCUGGAAUCGCUAGUAAUGGCGCAUCAGAUCGGCGCCGUGAAUACGUUCCCGGGCCUUGUACACACCGCCCGUCACAUCACGAAAGUGAGCUGUACUAGAAGUCGCCGUGCUAACCGCAAGGAGGCAGGCGCCCAAGGUAUGGCCCAUGAUUGGGGCGA